Molecule: ribosomal RNA, 1285 nt
Filed under: Oscarella balibaloi
Lineage: Eukaryota; Metazoa; Porifera; Homoscleromorpha; Homosclerophorida; Oscarellidae
Description: small subunit ribosomal RNA
Rfam family: Bacterial small subunit ribosomal RNA
Source: RNAcentral
AAAAGGCUUUGAUUUUGGGCCAGAUAGAAGGCGAGCGGCACUUAUAAUACAUGCUAGUCGAGUGGUUAAGACCCACGGCGUACAGGUGAGUAAUUUUCUGGAACCAACCAAUUGGACCUGUUGAACAGGAUAAAAAAUUAAAUUGUCAGUUGAUGGGCCAGAAUCGUAUUAGGUAGAAGGCGGGACAAAAGCCAGCCUUGCCAAAGAUGCGUAGCUGAAGGGCCACACUCUCACUGAAACAAGGGGGAGACUCAGAAAGAGGCAGCAGUAGAGAAUAUUGUGCAAUAUACGAAAGUAUGACACAGAGAUGUCGCAUAUAUAGACUGUCAAAUAUACGUGCCAGCAGACGCGGUUAUACGUAAGGUCUAAGUCUUUAUCGGAAAAUAGGCGUAAAGGGUGUGUAGGCGCUAAUUGAGUUAAUUCAGGUAAAUAGAACUUUUAUGUAGCGGUAGAAUGCUUUUAUAUAAAAUGGAAUACCAGAGGCGAAGGCGAUUUACUAAAAAAACUAACGCUGAGACACGAAAGUGUAGGGAGCAAACAGGAUUAGAUACCCUGGUAGUCUACACUGUAAACUAUGAGUGUGAGAUGUAGUUUAUAUCACAGAAAACUCGAGACCACUCCGCCUGAAGAGUACGAUCGCAAGAUUAAAAUUCAAAAAAUUUGGCGGUUCACUAUUCCGAUUAGAGGAGCGUGUAGUUUAAUUCGACAUUACGCGAGUAACCUUACCAAAACUUGCAUAAUUAAAAUUACGGGUUAACCAAUCCGGUGUCUAAAUGACUAUUAUUUACAGGUAUUGCAUGGCCGUCGUCAGUUCGUGUUGUGAAAUCAAUAGAACGAACGCAACCCUUAUUAGUUAUUGCAGACUCCACGUAAAUCAUUUUACGAGGGGCUGGGCUAUCUAAAAUGAGGUCGACGUCAGGUCCUUAUGAUCCUAAUGUUUUGGGCUACAUAUGCGCUACAUUGCUAUGUACAAAGGAAGAACAACAAUGAAGUCCUAAAGUAUAAGUACGAAAGUAGGCCUGAAAUGGUCUUCUGAAGUUGGAUUUAAUAGUAAUCGGAAAGUAGAGCGUUCCGGUGAAUAAGGCUCUAGUGUUCGUACAAAUCGCCCGUCACCUCAUCCCAGUUGAAUGCUCCCGAAGUGUUAAAAAGGUCUCUAAAUCUAGGGCAUAUAUUACAAUGUUUAGGUCGAUACUAUUUAUAGACUCCUACUUAACAUCACGGAAGUUCGAUGAGGAUGAGUAAGUCGUAACAUAGCUGCAGUACUGGAAAGUGUUGCAGGACUCAU